Long non-coding RNA from Oncorhynchus gorbuscha (pink salmon), 711 nucleotides. RefSeq lists it as uncharacterized. NCBI's taxonomy places the organism in Eukaryota, Metazoa, Chordata, Actinopteri, Salmoniformes, Salmonidae. The transcript has 2 exons. The record is from RefSeq and is a predicted model, not a curated record.
UGUUAUCCGUCGCCCUGGUGACACCGCAUGCAAAUAGGAAUGGACGCCCGGGCAACUUUAGCUUGAAGGGAGAAAAACAAAACAGAGGGAGUUUUAUUUUCCUGGCACUUUGAGGAUCAAGGUUAAAAAGCAGCACGUCGCCAUAUGUUUCCACCAUCUACAGAGUCAACGGAGGCCGAGAUUCUGAGGCGGGAAGGAGCCGGUGGUAGCUGGUCCCCUACAAAAAGGUCAGGUGGCUGAGGUCCCUCCGCCCCCACUGGACAUCAGGGGGUCCCCGGCAUACACAGUAUGUACCAUUCUGGACUCGAGACACCGGGUGAGGGGCCUACAGUACCUCGUUGAAUGGGAGGGGUACGGUCCGUAGGAGAGGUGCUGGGUAACGGUGGGAGACAUUAUGAACCCUUCACUCCUGAGAGACUUCCACCGCCUCCACCCGGAUCGCCCGGCGCCUCUUCAGGUGGUGCUCGGCGGUCGUCGUCACCGGCCUACUAGCCGCCACCGAUCCCUUUUUCUUUUCGGUUAGUUUUGUUCCUAUUUUGUGUGUGCUUGAUUUUGUUCCCUAUUUAGCGUAUGGAAUAUUCACGUUGUAUCGUUUUGGUGUUGUUAGUGCUCUGGACGUGGUUACCCGUUGUUUUGGGUUGGUCAGUGUUUGCUCCAUACGUGUUGGGCAUUUCAUUUUGGUGCUGUAUUAAAGUGCACUUUUCCCCUGGA